UUUUUUCAAAUUCGUAAAAAUUAAAAUACAAUUUAAGUCUAAAAUGACAAAAUCUCAAUAAUUAAUGUAAUUUCUGAAUAUACAGUAUGUAUAUUUCAGAAUAAUAAAGAUAUGAAGAGAAACCUGAGAAACGAAACUUUUGUAAUGACCUCAUUGGCAGAUCCAGGGGGGGGGGGGGGGGGGCGUUCCGGGGGUUGAAACCCCCCCUUUUUUUUGCCGAUCAAUGCAUUUGAAUGGGGACAUAGUUGGAACCCCUUUGUCCUGGGUUGGGAACCCCCCUUUUUAAAAUGGCUGGAUCCACCCCUGGACCUUAAAAGAGUUUGUUAUUAUAUGAACAAAAACAAAUAUUUUUUGUAGAAGACUUGAGUUUGUUACUGUACUAUUCUGUGAUUUGUUAAAUGAUAAUUUUGUUUGUUUUUUGUUGACAUUUUGUACAAAUAUUGUCUAUUUGUUUGUUAAUACUGUAUCAUAUGUUUGUAUAGUGCUUACGUUCAUGACAAAGUAUGAUUUAUUUAUCCCGGUUUGUAAGAGGCAAUUUCUCAAUUUAUAUACAACAUGAAAUACAGUGAAUAUAGGCUUUUUGAAAAAUUUAGGAUUUUCUUAUCCCAGGCAUAGAUUACCUUAGCUGUAUUUGGCACAACGUUUUGGAAUUUUAGAUCCUCAAUGCUCUUUAACUUUGUACUUGUUUGGCUUCAUAGAUAUUUUGAUGUGAGUGUCACUGAUGAGUCUUAUGUAGACGAAACGAGUGUAAUUAAAUUAUAAUUCGGGUACCUUUGAUAACUCUUUUGAACUGUUUAAUGUUUUACAAUGGGUUUUAUAUCAAAGCCAAACCCACAUAAGUGGCUCUAUCAUAUUGUAUGGAAUUUCUUUUAAAAGUACCAACAAAAACAAUAUUUUUUUAAGAAAUGAAUGCUGCGCCAUAAGUGCUGGCCACUUCCCCAAAUAUUUUCCUAAGAAAAUGUAUAACUUAGCUGUAUUUCAGAUUUGAUACAAAGUUUUCAUUAUAUUUUAGAUAAUUAUAGAUUAUCGCUGAUCAUCUCAACGAGAUUGAUUUUCUCACUUGAGCCAGUAUGGAGAAAGUGAGAAAGGCAAUCCAGUUGACAUGACCAAUGAUAAUCUGUUUAUUGCUAUUUUACCUAUGACGAUGUUGUCAAUUUCAUUAGCAAUGCCACAUGCUUCCUUAGUUUCUAGCGAUAAUUUUCUAUCUCAAGCGAGUAGCAUGAUAUGAAAAAUUAUCACAAAAAAAGAUCAAAGGAAAAAUGUAUGACUUCGAUAAAAAAUUAAGUGUUGAUCAAAUACAGUCUGUGGUUACCAUGGUUACAUUUAACAAUAAAAAUUAAUCUAAACCAAAUUCGCUUUAAACGUUUAACAAGAAUUAUUUGAAAUAUUGUCAAUUACAUGUAAAUGUUAUCUGAAUAAAAAAAUUUACUACCUUCAAUAAAUAGACAAUACAUAUAAACACCACUGUACAUAUUGUACAAACACAUUUAAUUUCCAUGAAUAUCAAUAUGUUUCCUGCUAAAAUAAU
This 1528-nucleotide long non-coding RNA is filed under the name Mytilus galloprovincialis (Mediterranean mussel). Lineage: Eukaryota; Metazoa; Mollusca; Bivalvia; Mytilida; Mytilidae. The record is from RNAcentral.